RNAcentral lists this long non-coding RNA (465 nucleotides) under Vulpes vulpes (red fox). RNAcentral describes it as "lncRNA (ENSVVUG00000000334.1)". The record is from RNAcentral. Lineage: Eukaryota; Metazoa; Chordata; Mammalia; Carnivora; Canidae.
AUGGCUUCACCAUACUUACUUUUGAAGUACUUUUCUGUAGUGGCUUAUUUUCUUGAGUCAUGUUCUGUAUCUUUAUUCUUCUUUCUUCUCACAGAAGUCAAGUGGAUCUCUCACAUUAGAGGAGUACAUCCCAAAGAAUCGUGGAGAAUUUCUGGAAAAUGGAACAUCGAGACGACAUUCACAAUGCCGACCUCUCUCUCUGCACCCUCUUUACCGUUCACUCUGCCAACACCAAGGGAAAGAGAAAGAUAAACUGUUUUAUGUAAGCGCCCAAGGAGAUCUGUUUACGGAGGCAGAAAACAUUCUGGAAGGCUCAGCCUCUGGGAGCGGUCGGGGCCUCGCCGCCCACGCCCAGCCCGAGCAGCCAGGACCGGGUUCCCGGAGAGUGCUCUGACCCACAACUGUUCCUUGAGAUCUAACAUAUUUGAAAAUAAAUAAAAUAGAAGUUUAAAAAAAUGGAAGUCU